Long non-coding RNA from Leopardus geoffroyi (Geoffroy's cat), 473 nucleotides. RefSeq lists it as uncharacterized. The record is from RefSeq and is a predicted model, not a curated record. The transcript has 2 exons. NCBI's taxonomy places the organism in Eukaryota, Metazoa, Chordata, Mammalia, Carnivora, Felidae.
ACACAGAAGGUGUUUAUCAGCCUGUGGAGUGAGAAUUCUCAAAAUUAUUACUCAGGUUUUUCGGUUUUGGUUUUUUUCAUUAGAAAACCAGAGCAAAGGCCGUAUCAACGUUCAGGCCUUCAACCACUAGAGGUGCUUCAACGAUGCAGAUCCAGACGGACAUCGCUAGUGACACAUCACCUCUGAGCCUGCAGGGCCCAUCCCUGCAAGGAGCCGUGAACACCAUCGUCGCCCUCGGCGCGGCAGCGGCCAAAUCCUGGGGGGAAUGCCCGCGGUUAUAAUAAGCUUUCUCACGAUGGGCCUUGGGAGGAAUUAGAAAUAUAAUUUUUCAGGCGCUUACAAAAUAUCAAGUAAUUGGAGCUUCUGCACAUAAAAGGGGCACACCAUGAGAUUUGUGGCUCCCUUUUUAAAAGAACCUAUUUAUAUAUUAAAACGAUAAAAUACGUCCAAGGGAGCGCUGGCCCCACAAUGUU